UACGGAGGAUGCAAGCGUUAUCCGGAAUGAUUGGGCGUAAAGCGUCCGCAGGUGGCUAUGUAAGUCUGCUGUUAAAGAGUGAGGCUCAACCUCAUAAGAGCAGUGGAAACUAUAUAGCUAGAGUGCGUUCGGGGCAGAGGGAAUUCCUGGUGUAGCGGUGAAAUGCGUAGAUAUCAGGAAGAACACCGGUGGCGAAAGCGCUCUGCUAGGCCGCAACUGACACUGAGGGACGAAAGCUAGGGGAGCGAAUGGG
Molecule: ribosomal RNA, 253 nt
Filed under: uncultured bacterium
Lineage: Bacteria
Description: partial 16S ribosomal RNA
Rfam family: Bacterial small subunit ribosomal RNA
Source: RNAcentral